AGGGUUUGAUCAUGGCUCAGGAUGAACGCUGGCGGCGUGCUUAACACAUGCAAGUCGAACGAACCUUCGGGUUAGUGGCGGACGGGUGAGUAACGCGUGAGAAUCUGCCCUCAGGAGGGGGAUAACGGUUGGAAACGACCGCUAAUACCCCAUAUGCCUACUGGUGAAAUGAAUUUCGCCUGAGGAUGAGCUCGCGUCUGAUUAGCUAGUUGGUGAGGUAAUGGCUCACCAAGGCUUCGAUCAGUAGCUGGUCUGAGAGGAUGAUCAGCCACAUUGGGACUGAGACACGGCCCAAACUCCUACGGGAGGCAGCAGUAGGGAAUAUUGCACAAUGGAGGAAACUCUGAUGCAGCGAUGCCGCGUGAGUGAAGAAGGCCUUAGGGUUGUAAAACUCUUUCACCCGUGAAGAUGAUGACGGUAGCGGGAGAAGAAGCUCCGGCUAACUCCGUGCCAGCAGCCGCGGUAAUACGGAGGGGGCUAGCGUUGCUCGGAAUUACUGGGCGUAAAGCGCGCGUAGGCGGCGCACCCAGUGAGGCGUGAAAUCCCCGGGCUUAACCCGGGAACUGCGUUUCAUACUGGUGUGCUAGAAUCCGAGAGAGGGUAGUGGAAUUCCCAGUGUAGAGGUGAAAUUCGUAGAUAUUGGGAAGAACACCAGUGGCGAAGGCGGCUACCUGGCUCGGUAUUGACGCUGAGGUGCGAAAGCGUGGGGAGCGAACAGGAUUAGAUACCCUGGUAGUCCACGCCGUAAACGAUGAGUGCUAGUUGUCGGGCAGCAUGCUGUUCGGUGACGCAGCUAACGCGUUAAGCACUCCGCCUGGGGAGUACGGUCGCAAGAUUAAAACUCAAAGGAAUUGACGGGGGCCCGCACAAGCGGUGGAGUAUGUGGUUUAAUUCGAUGCAACGCGAAGAACCUUACCAGGGUUUGACAUCCUGCGAACCUCUUAGAAAUUUGAGGGUGCCUUCGGGAAUGCAGUGACAGGUGGUGCAUGGCUGUCGUCAGCUCGUGUCGUGAGAUGUUGGGUUAAGUCCCGCAACGAGCGCAACCCACGUUUUUAGUUGCCAGCAUUUAGUUGGGCACUCUAGAAAGACCGCCGGUGAUAAACCGGAGGAAGGUGUGGAUGACGUCAAGUCAUCAUGCCCCUUACACCCUGGGCUACACACGUACUACAAUGCUACGGACAAAGGGCAGCAAACUCGCGAGAGCUAGCAAAUCCCAUAAACCGUGGCUCAGUUCAGAUCGUAGGCUGCAACUCGCCUACGUGAAGUAGGAAUCGCUAGUAAUCGCAGGUCAGCAUACUGCGGUGAAUACGUUCCCGGGCCUUGUACACACCGCCCGUCACACCAUGGAAGUUGGCCAUGCCCGAAGUCGUUACUCCAACCCUUGUGGAGGAGGACGCCGAAGGUGGGGCUAAU
Molecule: ribosomal RNA, 1413 nt
Filed under: uncultured bacterium
Lineage: Bacteria
Description: partial 16S ribosomal RNA
Rfam family: Bacterial small subunit ribosomal RNA
Source: RNAcentral